Vulpes vulpes (red fox) is the source of this 2151-nucleotide long non-coding RNA. Lineage: Eukaryota; Metazoa; Chordata; Mammalia; Carnivora; Canidae. The record is from Ensembl.
CAAACGAACCGUCUGCACAAAAUGGAGGCUCGAGCCCUAGCAGAGCCGGCCUGGCUCGCGAGGCCUGUGUGCGCGAGGAGGAGCGGCGCAGGAGGCCUGGCCGGGUCGAGGCCCGCGCCGGGCGGACCCGGGAGGGCCCAGCGGCCCCCCGCGCCGGGCAGUCGCCCCGCAGCUGCAGGCUGACGUCACGGUCGCCCCAGGGCGGCCCGAGCCGGCCUCCCCAGGCGUUAUUUGAUGAGGACAGGCCGAUUCAAACGAACGUGCUGUGCGGGUGCCCGCUUGUCCGCCCCGCCCCGCCCUCCCCGAGAGGAUAAUCGGGUAUUUAAUCUCUCCCGGUCUUAAUUCUUGGCAGCGUGGAAGGUGGUUUGCACGGGAAAUAAAACUUGACAGGAGCAUUUUCUCUAAAAGGGGUUCUGCGACGGGCUGAAAAGAAACCGUGUUUUUCUCCACCAAAUACUUCCGCUUUCUGAGCCCCCCGGGCGGAGGGGUGGGGUGACAUCCGAGGGAGCGAGAGCGAGCUGGGCACGCAGGACCGCGCCGUGGACCGCGCUGCGGACGCUCCGGGCAGCGCCGGUCUCCGCCCGGGCCUGGGGCUGGGCCUGGGCCUGGGCCUGGGCCUGGGCCUGGGCCUGGGCCUGGGCCGGGAAGCGGCCUCGGGCCUCGCCGCGUCCAGCGCCUCUGCCGCUCGGCUCGGCCGUAGCCCCGGCGCCGUCCGCAGCCGGGAGCCAGGACCCCGCUCGCCCGGGAAGCUGGCACCGGCAGGGGCCGGGUGGGCACCCACAGGAGCACCCUGGCAUUGGCCAAGGGCGCGUGGGGUCAAGCGAGAGAAGAGGGCGCUGGGGAGGGCCCUGCACCGCUUGGCUUUGGCUCUGAGCCUUUUAGCCAAGGGGAGCUGGGGACCAGAGCUGGCCAAAGAGGUGGUGAGAGCGCUGCUGGGGGCUUUGUUUCGGCUGCGGGGCUGCAGAUCCUGCACAAAACGGAGGGGGCACGGGGUGAGCGGCGCAGCAUGCGUGGGUUGUCCGGGCUGCUAUUGGGUGGGAGAAGCCGCAGACAGCGGAAUCCCCUCCCGGCCGCUCAGAGAGCGCCCUCCCCUCGCGCCGCAAAGGUCAAGUCCUCGGCACCAGGGCCGCUCCACGGUCAGGGCCGCGCGGACGCGGGAAGGCGCCGCAGGACCCACACUUGGCCGCCUGCAAACGGGUUCCGAUUGCCCGGGCUCUCGGACCGGAGGCAGGGGCUCCUGCCUGGCUUCCUACGCCGCCGCUCCCAGCCCUACUGAAAAGGAGUUCCCGCAGCCAGGGUUGGCCCCGGCUAAGUCCCCGUCGAAUCCUAGAAGAGCGGGUCCAGGAGACUUCGGAGCCCGCGGAGGCCUAGCCCGGGCGAGAGGCAGCGCCCGCAAGCUCAGGAGAGACGGUGUGGCUGGAUCGGAGUUCUGGGCUCCGGCAGAAGCAAGGGACCGGCAGGGCCAGAAUAGGAUAGGGGAGCAAGGAUCCUGCUGGGAACCUCUCUUAAGGUACUUGGGUUCACAUCUGCUCCUUCAAGUGCACGCUGAUGCUUUGUGCACUUGGAUGCUCUUCUUCUCCUGCCUAAAAUCUAGGCCAAGAAAUGAGGUGCACUCUGCCAAAGACAGAAAAGCUGAGCUUUAUCCCUAGAACUGCAUGGGUGGAGCAGGGCUUGAGGAGACACUAACUGGAGGAAUUCUCCAUGGAUAGGUACCAUCACAGAACUGCCUGGAAGGGCAUGUAGGGGAGACUCCUAGGGCAGGGUUGCACUGGGCAUGGGCUCUCUUUUUUCAAGUCUGAAAUGUGAGCUAUGGAUUGCCACUGAGUAGAAAUGGAGGAGCCUGGGGAACUGCCCUAGGAGGCAGCUGGAGCUUGGGGCAUGGAGGCUUCCCGUGAGCCACAGCUGAGGGCUAGGGCUGGCCUUCUGGUUGGGCCGCCCUCUUUUGUCCUCUUUAUUGCAGAUACCCUUGGCUGCAGAAACCCGUCUGGGCCGAAGUUUCUGGGAGAAUGGAAAGCAGACGCUGUGAACCAGGGCUUUGUCCUUCAAAGUUUCCCCUACUCCAUUUGCUCCCAUGUGAUGGGGGGGAGGAUUUUUUUUUUUUUUAAUGAACCCACCGCAACAUAAAAAUAAAAAUAGUUUUUCUCAAAGGAA